This 253-nucleotide ribosomal RNA is filed under the name uncultured bacterium. RNAcentral describes it as "partial 16S ribosomal RNA". It matches the Rfam family "Bacterial small subunit ribosomal RNA", at positions 524 to 776 of the family's 1533-position model. The record is from RNAcentral.
UACGUAGGUGGCGAGCGUUGUCCGGAAUCAUUGGGCGUAAAGAGCGCGUAGGCGGCUUGUCAGGUCUGAUGUGAAACCUUGGGGCUCAACCCCAAGCGUGCAUCGGAAACCGGCUUGCUAGAGUCCGGGAGAGGAGAGUGGAAUUCCUGGUGUAGCGGUGAAAUGCGUAGAUAUCAGGAGGAACACCGGUGGCGAAGGCGGCUGCCUGGACCGAUAUUGACGCUGAGACGCGAAAGCGUGGGUAGCAAACAGG